This is a long non-coding RNA of Trifolium pratense (red clover), 1653 nucleotides long. RefSeq lists it as uncharacterized. Lineage: Eukaryota; Viridiplantae; Streptophyta; Magnoliopsida; Fabales; Fabaceae. The transcript is spliced from 5 exons. The record is from RefSeq and is a predicted model, not a curated record.
UAUAUAUAUAUCCCUUUGUUGUUUUUGAAGCACCAUAGUUAGGGUUUCUUAAUAAUUUGGAUUUUUUUCAUCUGAAUCUAAUUAUAUUUAAUUGAUUGAUUGAUAAUGCAAUUGAAAUUAUAAAUAAUUGAUUUGUGUUAUUAAAUCAAUGUUAGGGUUUUGAUAUGUUAUAAACUGGGGAAUUUGUGAUACUUUUCAUAGCAUUAUGCAUGUAGUUGCUGAUUUAUACUUAAGAAUUGUGAUUGAGGUCUUAGGAGCAGUUGUAGAUAAGCACAUCUCUUGGGUCUGGUUUUUAUGUAAGGCAGGAAUUUCUAUUAUAGUUAGUGGAACAAUCCUCUUUUGCAUUCAUUGUUGUUGACAAGUAAAGGAGGGAUGUGAGAUGAUGUUUGAAGAAGAGAGGAUGAGUUUCCUUUCAGAGAUGAGAACUUUUUUAAUUUUACCACUGUGCCUCUCAAUUGUAACCAGUUGAUCUUUACUCUUUGAAUUGCCUCAUGAUUAAUUUGAGUAACUGAUUGGAAGCAUUGAUGUAGAAUUCUACCUUUUCCAAGUCCUACUAUGUGUCAUGCACUUGAGGCUUAUGGGUUCAAGCUUCUAUUGAGGCAUCGUUGGCAAUUUGAUUAAGAUGCACUUGUUUGCAGUUGCAGAGAUGAGUUUAAUUGAAGGUAAGCAAAUACUAAGCUCACUGUUAAAGUCUCAUAUCAUUUGAAUUAUAUUGCAACAUCACUUCAAGAAAAAAUUGCAGAUGUCAUCCCUUUGUUAUCUUCAUUGUUGUUUAGGUUAUAUAGUAUAUAGAUCGGUGUGGAUUUAUCAAUGGAUUUUAUUUAAUUCUGAAGUAUAAUUUGGGUUUUCUUUUCUCAGCUUCACAUGUUCUUGAAUUUUUUUAUGUGAAAUAAUUGUUAAGCUUUUGCAGCAUCCUGGUCAGGAUUUUCCACUUUAUGAACUUAUUUUGCAUCUUAAAAAGUCCUAGAAAUAGAAGCUCAAGAAAGUUGUGUCAGAAUAUUGCAAUUUUCAAGCUUAAUUUUGGUAGCCACUGUUCCUCCUGCAGAUGCAGAACAUGAAGGGUCAAACAUAACUGUGCUGACACAAUUUGGCUGUGACAGGUGUUAUAACCUCUAACGAGAGGAAGUGUCAUGAUUGGUGAGGCGUUUGGAGGAAAAAAUCGAGUGUCUAGAUCUUGUAACUGACAUCUUGGACGUUUCUGAUGAGGAAGCAAUUUGGUAUGUUCUGAUUUAUGAGCCUAUUAUCAGUAGUUUAGGUUGAAAAUAUGCUUUACUCCAUCAAGUGCAAAAGUUGGUAAUGUGGUCUUAUCGGGGAGAUGCAUGCAGAUUAGUGGCUAUUAUUAUUUAGUUGGACUGCAGCUUAUUGACUGGUAGCUAGGAGGUGAUGCACAUGUAUGUUUUGUUGAAGUUUAUUGAUUUGUAAUUUUGGGGUGGAUAUUAGAAGUAAGCAAUGACUUUAAUAUUGCUUUCAAGUUUAUACGAGUUUGUUCUGCUCUAAGUUACUUGGCGCAGUUUAAAUUUUGGAAGAAUUGAAUAGGUAUUGUUUUGGUAUUUUGAUGUACUUUGUCAUUAUCUUGACAUAUUUGUAAGACUUGUUAGUUUUUUCAAUAUAAUAAUAUAAUUUAAGUUUUCAUUUAUUUUGUUUCAUAAUUAC